UACGGGGGGGGCAAGCGUUGUUCGGAAUUACUGGGCGUAAAGGGUUCGUAGGUGGCUGGCUAAGUCAGACGUGAAAUCCCUCAGCUUAACUGGGGAACUGCGUCUGAGACUGGUCGGCUCGAGUGCAGGAGAGGAACGCGGAAUUCCAGGUGUAGCGGUGAAAUGCGUAGAUAUCGAGAGGAACAUCGGUGGCGAAGGCGGCCUUCUGGACGAUGACUGACGCUGAGACGCGAAAGCGUGGGGAGCAAACAGG
This 253-nucleotide ribosomal RNA is filed under the name uncultured bacterium. RNAcentral describes it as "partial 16S ribosomal RNA". It matches the Rfam family "Bacterial small subunit ribosomal RNA", at positions 524 to 776 of the family's 1533-position model. The record is from RNAcentral.